This 641-nucleotide ribosomal RNA is filed under the name uncultured eukaryote. RNAcentral's name for it is "eukaryotic LSU rRNA". The stretch from base 241 to 395 matches the Rfam family "5.8S ribosomal RNA". The record is from RNAcentral.
UUCCGUAGGUGAACCUGCGGAAGGAUCAUUCACACACGUUGAAUCCACUUUCAUCACCUGAACUUUUCUUUGUGAGUCUGUGCUUGCGGGCCGCAAGGCUAGCUUGUAGAGAUUCGGGGGCGGACAGGCAGCGGCGGUCCUCGGACUAGCCUCUGCUUUUGGCCGUCGGCUUGUCUAACACACAAUCUUGGUGUGCUUGUUAGCUCGUUGGCUGUUCAGCCAUUCGAUCUGAGAGCUUACAACUUUCAGCGACGGAUGUCUCGGCUCAAACAACGAUGAAGGGCGCAGCGAAGUGCGAUAAGCAUUGCGACUUGCAGAAUUCCGUGAACCAACAGAUUCCUGAACGUAUACUGCGCUUUCGGGAUACCCCUGAAAGCAUGCCUACUUCAGUGUCAUCUUCGGUCUCAUGCUGUUGAUGGCGGUUCUUGCCGCUGCUAAUCAACACGCGUGCUUGUGCACCAAGGAGCUUCUUGCCCUUGAUGCAUCCAAUGCAGUGAGCUUCGCCUUGCGAGCAACUAACAGAACGCCUUCUGGCGCAUUGUCUGCUGCUCUGCUGGGUUGAUGGCUCUGCUUUCAUCGGUGCUUCGGCUCCGUUUUCUGACAUGAAGUUAGGUCAGCAAACCCGCUGAAUUUAAGCAUAU